ACACUUGCUAACCUGCUAGGCCUCUAGGGUGUAAUAAACAUUGAGACAAAAUAACGUCUCAGUUCUUUUGGUAUUGGAACCAUGGACUUGUUAUUCGUUUACUAAGAUAUUAAUGUUAAAUAGGAUAAUCGUAAAAUAGAUGAUGACUUUACCGAGCACUGGUGUAAGCAUACUAUUAAAAGAACGCCCACUAAAUGCUAGGAGAAUGUGAAAUGAAGGGGUCUGCAACUAAAGACUUUAAAAGAUGAAUGCCAAGUAGACUACUGUCAAGUUGAAGUGAUACCUCCCACAUCUAGCUCUAGCCUACUCUAUGUCUAGCUAACGAACAAACACAAGGACUUCAUAUAACAAGGAACGGGGAAUGAAAGGGGAGUACUUCGGCCCAGAAAUAAACAAACGUAACAACCGACCUUGACACAAUUAGCAAAGGCCAUCGUCUCUAGUUAUGUGCGGUAAUUUGUGUUGUGUCAGAUGUUGGUCGCUAUGGCCGACACUGGUUUGGCUCGGAUAGCCAUAUAGGGACCAACAGUCUGAGAAGUGACUCCCUCACGGAAGACUAAAGAGAUAAUGAAAAAAAGCAAACUUGCUAAUUUUACUGCAUGUUUUUUUUUAUUAGUAUUUUCACAUUAUUAUUAUUUUAAAAUAAAAACUGUGUUCUUGUGUA
This is a long non-coding RNA of Biomphalaria glabrata, 664 nucleotides long. RefSeq lists it as uncharacterized. NCBI's taxonomy places the organism in Eukaryota, Metazoa, Mollusca, Gastropoda, Planorbidae. The record is from RefSeq and is a predicted model, not a curated record. The transcript is spliced from 2 exons.